CUACCCGCUGAACUUAAGCAUAUCAUAAACCGGAAGGAA
Molecule: ribosomal RNA, 39 nt
Filed under: Rhizoctonia solani
Lineage: Eukaryota; Fungi; Basidiomycota; Agaricomycetes; Cantharellales; Ceratobasidiaceae
Description: partial 28S ribosomal RNA
Source: RNAcentral